CAGUAGCCACGGUAAUACGGAGGAUCCGAGCGUUAUCCGGAAUUAUUGGGUUUAAAGGGUGCGUAGGCGGAUAGAUAAGUCAGUGGUGAAAGACGGUGGCUCAACCAUCGCAGUGCCGUUGAUAUUGUUUAUCUUGAAUAUGGAUGAGGUAGGCGGAAUGUGGCAAGUAGCGGUGAAAUGCAUAGAUAUGCCACAGAACACCGAUUGCGAAGGCAGCUUACCAAGGCAAAAUUGACGCUGAGGCACGAAAGCGUGGGGAUCGAACAGGAUUAGAUACCCCAGUAGUCCCUGUCUCUUAUAC
RNAcentral lists this ribosomal RNA (301 nucleotides) under uncultured bacterium. RNAcentral's name for it is "partial 16S ribosomal RNA". It matches the Rfam family "Bacterial small subunit ribosomal RNA", at positions 509 to 807 of the family's 1533-position model. The record is from RNAcentral.